AGACUGGUCUCCAACUCCUGGCCUCAAGCUAUCAGCUGGGCUCUGCCUCCCAAAGCACUGGGAUUACACGUAUGAGCCGCCAUGCCAGCUUCCUACCUCUUCAUCUCUUAGCCCACAAACUCUCCACACUCCCUUCAAAAUGUGCCUUUCUUCUGUCACCUUCCACCAUCUCCUCUAUGCUAAAAGACAACAGACCUCCUGCCAAGUCAAAGUGCUCAUCAGCCCAGCACCAGGCCGAGCUCACCCUCCUCUGCUAUUACUGCCUGUUUAUUCAUGCAAUGACUACCAGUAACCAGCUACGUGCCAGCUACCUCUCAGAGCUGGGGAUGGAGCAGUGAUGACAUCAGGUGAAGAUGAAGAAAAAUAAAACAAGGUGAAAAAGAAUAAGCAGGAGUAGAGUGAGAAGAUAUUUAGAAACCAUGGUUAGCAAUGUCCUUCUAAAUGUGCCUGGUGUGUAAUAAUACUUCAGAAGAUAAUGAUUUCUUUCCCCGUCACAUUCUUUAGUCCCAAAACACAAGGGCAUUUUAAUUUAUGAAAUCUCCUGUGGGGAACUAGGAGCUCCCUGACCUUCAGGAGUUGUGAUUAUAUUCCCAAGAUAUAGCUGAAAAAUUGGCACUUAGUAGAUAUUUAAUAAGUAUUUGUUAAAUAAAUGAAUAGAUGAAUACAAGUCUUCGAAAACAGAAUAGUCUGCACCUAGGCUAGUUUACGAAAAGACUGAGAUGCUUGAGGACAUUCUAUGUCCUUUUAAACUUCAUACUUUCAGUGUCUAUCAUGUUGCUUACCACAUAGCGGUCUCCAAAUAAGUGUUUAUAAAACUCAACUGAAUGAAUUCCUGCCUGAGAAAGUAUGUUGCCAUAGCUAAUAUUGCUCCAGCAUUAUGGUACUUGAAGAUUCUUGCAUUAUUUAAAUGUGGUUUUUUCUAUUAGUAUUUUAUUUGUCUUCACAUCACUGAGAGGGAGUAUCCAUAGAGCUAGAGAAAGCCAUCACUGAGAAACAACCAAUCGUUAAUAAUUCACUAAGAAAUAUUAAACAAGGGAAAUAAGUUUAUUUCCCUGGAGGGAAUCAAAUGUCAUAAAUAUACACAGGAUUUUCUAUUUCGAGCUUCUCCAGUAUUGCAGAACUACAGGUCAACAGAAUAAGCUCAAGUCAUGAGAGAAAGAACAAUUUGCUGUUCUCUAUUCCUGAUGGGAUUAAAAUAUCACUAUUUGGCAGUAGUCUACAUAAAUAAAUUAC
RNAcentral lists this long non-coding RNA (1233 nucleotides) under Homo sapiens (human). RNAcentral describes it as "HSALNT0336518". The record is from RNAcentral. Lineage: Eukaryota; Metazoa; Chordata; Mammalia; Primates; Hominidae.